GGGAUUCUCCUCCCCAUAUAGCAUGCGAACUGAUUGAGCAAUUGCAGAGACAGCAGGUGGUAAAUCUGGUUCAGGGAGUUUUGUUGGAAUAUUCACUGCUUCACGAAGCCAAUGUGGUAGCUUAUUCUUCAGUGAACUACACUCAACCACUUCCUUGCCCUUUGAUUGAGAAACUCUCUGACCUUUAUCGAGUACAGGAAGUGAUGGAUAAUUGCUAGAUUCACCACCUCCCGCAUUGUUAUGUGAAUCAUGUGAGAUAUUUAAAGACCUGUCAAGAAGGCUAGGUAAAUUAACAAAUCUGCUAGCACCAUCAUCAAUCUCCUUUUGCAAGGCAAACCUGUUCUGACAACCCAAGCCAAGAGGACCCAAGCUACUGCUGCCCGACGAAUUCAGCAGAAAUGGUGACUCCGUAACAAAGCUUGAUGGAGCUCCUAGUCUGUCUGAUGGUCCCGCAUUCAAAUCUCGAGGAAUGUUCAC
Molecule: unclassified non-coding RNA, 477 nt
Filed under: Hevea brasiliensis (rubber tree)
Lineage: Eukaryota; Viridiplantae; Streptophyta; Magnoliopsida; Malpighiales; Euphorbiaceae
Source: RNAcentral